CUGGCGGAGCGUUUCCCAGCUUCGAGAAGUAUAGAUCCCAAUUUGAGGGCGCGAUUGAUGAAGAGGGACUGAUCGGCGUCAGAAGGUAACAAAUCGAGGAGGCGCUCGAAGGAGAGGUCGAUAGAGAGGGAAGGUGAGUCCGCAAGGCCUAAAAAUGUUUGGAGGAGAUUGUCCACUUGGUGGUUCAUGUUCGGUUGCCUAUUAGGGCUUAGGGAGGAGGAAGUGCUAGUGGUGGCGGUGGCGGUGGCGGUGGCGUUGGAGGAGGAGGA
Molecule: unclassified non-coding RNA, 269 nt
Filed under: Hevea brasiliensis (rubber tree)
Lineage: Eukaryota; Viridiplantae; Streptophyta; Magnoliopsida; Malpighiales; Euphorbiaceae
Source: RNAcentral